This 594-nucleotide long non-coding RNA is filed under the name Fukomys damarensis (Damara mole-rat). Its description in RNAcentral is "lncRNA (ENSFDAG00000029191.1)". The record is from RNAcentral. Lineage: Eukaryota; Metazoa; Chordata; Mammalia; Rodentia; Bathyergidae.
CCCCGUCAUCUGUGUCACUAUUGUCCUCUCUCAUCCUUGUCACCAUUGUCAGUACACUGACACCAUUAUACUCACACAGAGGAACGGUCUGUCAUACUGCAGAGGAGCCAGACAGAACAAGUGUGGCCUGGGGCUGGGCCUGGCUGCUGCUUCAAGCCUUCUUGUCAGCAGCAAUGCCACUCAAUGUUUGCAGAGCCCUGAGCCGUCAGGCCCCAGGAGAAGCAGCCUGUUCUCUAGGCAUGUUGGUUGGAUACAGAGCGGGAAGACAAAACCAGGAGAGGCUCAGCCUUCACCCAUCUGGACAUCAGCCUGUGGAGCCAUCAAAGGACCUAGACACCCACACACAAAGACAGGACAGCAGCUACCUAGCACCAGGGCUGGGAUUGCUCCGAGAGCCAAUGGUACUUCCAGGGAGCUCACACGUAGCCCUUUGUCCAGGCUGCAGACAUGGCUGUGUGUCCAGCAGAGACAAGUUGGGGGCUGGGCCCUGGCUUGAAGGGAGUGACAAGCAGAGAGAGAGAGCAGACAGUGAUGGGGAUCCAUGAAGCAGCCCCUCGUUCCACCUGGCCUUCCUGCCACCUUCCCCUCCCCCAC